Non-coding RNA from Leptonychotes weddellii (Weddell seal), 942 nucleotides. The record is from RefSeq and is a predicted model, not a curated record. NCBI's taxonomy places the organism in Eukaryota, Metazoa, Chordata, Mammalia, Carnivora, Phocidae.
GAACGUGUUGACACUAAUAAAGUCGUAUUUCACCCACACUGUAGUUUGUGGACUGUGGAAAUGGAGGGCUUGACACCCACAGAGUCUGGUGCAGAAGCACUGAGCAUCAGCAGAAGUGGUUUGUCACCCUAUGGGGGACAGGAUUCAGGGAACCUAGAGAUUCUUCUUUCAACUUGAGUUUCAGCAAGCAACAAGGAGCAACUUGAAAGGGAGAGAGCUUGUCAGAGGACCUUGAUUCACCUCCAGGUGACCUAACUCUCCUCCACCUCCAGGUGAACUGUGGGUACCUCUGACUGACAGAAGCCGGGUCACCUCUCCACACCCUGGCUUUGAGAGAGGCUGAGAAAUGGAACCUGAAGAAAAAAGUGUUUUUAUACUUUCCAGCUCUCAUAGUUGGAGAGUUGGGAUACGUGUUGCCAUCCCCCUCCCCCGCCGAGGUUUGUGGGCUGUGAGGAACGAGGCCACCACGACCUGACGGGGCCAGAGCCAUUGAAGAGGCAUCCAGAGCUUGCAGGAUCUACGAAAACAGGCACACUUGGAUUUGGUCUGCAGACCUGAUUUUGCCCACCCCUGCUCUAGGCAAACAGAGAAAGCACAAUACCAUAUUUUUCCCAGUUUGAGAGGUUCUCUUCAGUGUUGAUGAACAGCUGCCAACAUCACAAAAAGAGGGACGACCCGACAUGAAGCGCCUCUUGAAGGAAGUUCACAACACCUCCUAUGAAGUCGUCUUGUCCCCCCCCCGCCCCCGGCCAAAAUCAAAUCAAAAUCUGGCAAUGCCUCUGAAUCAGCUACCAGUUUACAGAAGGUACAGACCACAGAGGAACAUGCUCAGAGACACACCACGGAGAUGCAUGCAGCGAACUCCAGACGGUGGGGUUUCUGCCGGACUGACGGCCCAACUGAUUCUUCAAAAAUUCAUUUCAAAGGAAAGAAGAAACUGUG